UACCUUCCUGGCAGGCAUAUUGGG
This 24-nucleotide non-coding RNA is filed under the name Mus musculus (house mouse). The record is from RNAcentral. Lineage: Eukaryota; Metazoa; Chordata; Mammalia; Rodentia; Muridae.